This 567-nucleotide long non-coding RNA is filed under the name Bos indicus x Bos taurus (hybrid cattle). RNAcentral's name for it is "lncRNA (ENSBIXG00005008450.1)". Lineage: Eukaryota; Metazoa; Chordata; Mammalia; Artiodactyla; Bovidae. The record is from RNAcentral.
GAACAUGGGCACUCAUCUCUCACCCACAUUUACUGAAUCCACUUCUCUCCUUUUAGAAGAGUGUAUGCUCGGAGGACAAACCACCCCUAGGUGAAGCUGCCCUGACGUCUGCAGGCUGUGGGCUCCUGUCCCACACAGAUUUCCUGCCCUGAGCUUCCUAAGAUAGGACCCACCUCAAAAAUCUUGCCUACAAGGGAUAUUUAUUUUGGCCUUUCUCAUAAACAUUGAAACCAACUUGAUAUCAGAAUUAAGAGGAGCUGGCUAAGGGGAGAGCAUCAGCUGUGAACGCAUGAGAAUGACGAGCCGGGUCCAUCCUGCUGCAACUUCCACCAGGGGCUCAGGCCAACGGGGAUAGGGAAGGAGGAGACACAUUUGCGAACAUUUCUGAGAGCACUCAGCCCGGGUUGGAGGAAGAGAGUGCCAGGAUGGAGAGAGGACAGUGGAGACGCACAAUGUGAUCCGUUCCUGCAGCUGCAUCUGGGGGAUGAAGGUGGAGAUGUCCCUGAAUUUAAUUCCCAAAAAGUAGGUGACUUUUGACAGAGCAAUUCUAGGAGGUGGAGGGGGUCA